Rana temporaria (common frog) is the source of this 442-nucleotide non-coding RNA. The record is from the annotation of a RefSeq genome assembly. NCBI's taxonomy places the organism in Eukaryota, Metazoa, Chordata, Amphibia, Anura, Ranidae.
CACCUACGUCUACAGAUAGAAACUAUUCACAAUAAUGAAGACUUUACUAACCCUCUCUAUGUUAAUGAUAUGGCUUUCAGGUGUCCAGUCCGCAGAACAACUUAGCCAAUCAGAGCCAGCGGUGAUAAAGCCGGGGAACUCUCACACAAUGACCUGUACAGCUUCUGGAUUCACUUUUAGCAGCUACUGGAUGGGCUGGGUCAGGCAGAUUCCUGGUAAACCAUUGCAAUGGCUGUGUGCUAUUACCAGCGAUGGGGGUACCACAUAUUAUCAUAAUGAUGUUAAAGGAAGAUUCACAGUCUCCAGAGAUAACAGUAAAAACAUGUUAUAUCUGAAAAUGGACAACAUGAAAACUGAAGACUCUGCUGUCUAUUACUGUGCAAGAGACACAGCGAUUGAAAACAGCUCUUUGUGCAACAAAAACUAGCCAUUCCUUUCUCAA